RNAcentral lists this ribosomal RNA (526 nucleotides) under uncultured eukaryote. RNAcentral's name for it is "SSU rRNA". It matches the Rfam family "Eukaryotic small subunit ribosomal RNA", at positions 76 to 604 of the family's 1831-position model. The record is from RNAcentral.
AUACAGCGAAACUGCGAAUGGCUCAUUAUAUAAGUUCAUAAAUUAUUUGAUAGUGCCUUACUACUUGGAUAACCGUGGUAAUUCUAGAGCUAAUACAUGCUAAAAACCCCGACUUCGGAAGGGGUGUAUUUAUUAGAUACAAAACCAAUGCCCUUCGGGGCUCUUUGGUGAUUCAUGAUAACUAUACGAAUCGCACGGCCUUGCGCCGGCGAUGGUUCAUUCAAAUUUCUUCCCUAUCAACUUUCGAUGUUUGGGUAUUGGCCAAAUAUGGUUGCAACGGGUAACGGAGGGUUAGGGCUCGACCCCGGAGAAGGAGCCUGAGAAACGGCUACUACAUCCAAGGAAGGCAGCAGGCGCGCAAAUUACCCAAUCCCGACUCGGGGAGGUAGUGACAAUAAAUACUGAUACAGGGCCCUUUCGGGCCUUGUAAUUGGAAUGAGUACAAUUUAAAUCCCUUAACGAGGAACAAUUGGAGGGCAAGUCUGGUGCCAGCAGCCGCGGUAAUUCCGGCUCCAAUAGCGUAUAU